AGCAACGUUGCCAGGGAAACAGAGUGGGACCGCUCCUCUUAGUGUUGCCUGUGGAUCCAUGUCCCAGGUUUUGUGAUUCUUCUUCAGGCGCUACUAUGGAGGUGACAUUCUUUUAUCAUACCAGCUGUCUCUGACAUCCAUUACCCUUUAAAGUCAGCUAUGUCAUGCAUGUCCUGGCAUGCUGUGCCCUGCUUGUUCUGGAAGCCAGGUGUGUGGUUAGAACAUGAAGACGGGAAUACAUAGUCUACUGUGAGAUGUGUCUCAGAGCAGCCAUUCACGUCCAAAAGCCUAACAAGCAACAUAAAGUUAUUAAUGGCAUUUACAAUUCACCACUUUUAUAUCUGGUUCCUGUCAAAAUGCUACCUACUAGAAACAGAAACAUAAAAUUGGACUGGAUCAAGAAAGUUUCAUCGCUGCCUUCUGAAAACAAUGACAUGUAGCAGUUCAUCCUUCGCUAUGACAUUUAAAACCAUCAAGAGCAGAACAACACACUUCACACACCUCCAGCAUCCUUUUUCCAUGACCUGUUACUAAACUAAUGGCUAUGCUUUGGAUAUUGCUGUCGUUUUUUAAAACAAUCAAGGUCUACAUUUUUUAUAUCAACAAGCAGACUGAGGGGUGAAAAUAAGCUGUCCUUAUAGAGAGGUUUUUGAGACAGACAUACAAGUAAGACCCCCAACUAAGGAGGAGGCAAGACCACCAUGGAUUCGGGAAGUGGAUUCAUACAGCCACAAGCAAAGCAAUGGCUGGAGCCAACAUAAGCAGGAAGAGGCCAGACAAGAGAUUCUCCCCAGAGCUUUCAGAAAGAAGACUAGCCUGCCGAGACCUUGAUUCAAACUUCUGGCCUCCAAAACCAUAAGAGAAUAAAUGUCUAGUGACAUAAGUCA
This is a long non-coding RNA of Suricata suricatta (meerkat), 887 nucleotides long. RefSeq lists it as uncharacterized. The transcript is spliced from 7 exons. Lineage: Eukaryota; Metazoa; Chordata; Mammalia; Carnivora; Herpestidae. The record is from RefSeq and is a predicted model, not a curated record.